This 341-nucleotide non-coding RNA is filed under the name Enterococcus faecium PC4.1. RNAcentral describes it as "Group I catalytic intron". It matches the Rfam family "Group I catalytic intron". Rfam says of the family: Group I catalytic introns are large self-splicing ribozymes. Lineage: Bacteria; Bacillati; Bacillota; Bacilli; Lactobacillales; Enterococcaceae. The record is from RNAcentral. RNAcentral also lists the same sequence under 5 other names.
GUAAGAGCAUAGGGAAACUUGUGCUUAGUGGAAUAUAUAAAAUCUCGUAUAUCCCAACAAAGAAACUGAAUUGCGGGGAACCCCUAAAGCGAGUAAAACGACAACGUAGUCUUGAAAUAGGCAAACGUGACCGUGGCGAAAGCAGAAAAAAUUUACUCGAUAGCAUAUGGUUAAAUCCUAAGUGUUGCGACAAUGGGCAAUCUGCAGCGAAGACUCGAACAGAGUAACGUUCAACGACUAUUCCUCUUGAGGGAAGUACACACAAGCGUGUGGAAGUGGUUUCGCCGUACUGGGUAAAGCCAACGGAUAAGAUAUAGUCUGUGCUGGCACGAAAGUGUCAG